GGCCCUGUUCUUUGAUUGAUC
This 21-nucleotide small nuclear RNA is filed under the name Arabidopsis thaliana (thale cress). Its description in RNAcentral is "snRNA_09240". Lineage: Eukaryota; Viridiplantae; Streptophyta; Magnoliopsida; Brassicales; Brassicaceae. The record is from RNAcentral.